Molecule: ribosomal RNA, 429 nt
Filed under: uncultured bacterium
Lineage: Bacteria
Description: bacterial SSU rRNA
Rfam family: Bacterial small subunit ribosomal RNA
Source: RNAcentral
UGAGGAAUAUUGCACAAUGGGCGAAAGCCUGAUGCAGCGACGCCGCGUGGAGGAUGACGGUCUUCGGAUUGUAAACUCCUGUUAAGUGGGAAAAAAGAACCGUUGUUAAUAGCAGCGGGAGAUGAUGGUACCACUAGAGAAAGCACCGGCUAACUUCGUGCCAGCAGCCGCGGUAAUACGAGGGGUGCAAACGUUAUUCGGAAUCACUGGGCGUAAAGGGUCUGUAGACGGCGAAACAAGUCAGUUAUAAAAUCUCUUGGCUUAACCAAGAAACUGUAACCGAAACUGUUUUGCUUGAGGAUGGAAGAGAGAAGCGGAAUUCUCGGAGUAGCGGUAAAAUGCGUAGAUCUCGAGAGGAACACCGAUGGCGAAGGCAGCUUCUUGGUCCAUUUCUGACGUUGAGGGACGAAAGCGUGGGGAGCAAACAGG